CCCUGCAGAUUAGCGGCGGAGGGUGAGUACACGUGGGUAACCUGCCUGUAAGACUGGGAUAACUCCGGGAAACCGGAGCUAAUACCGGAUAGUUCCUUGAACCGCAUGGUUCAAGGAUGAAAGACGGUUUCGGCUGUCACUUACAGAUGGACCCGCGGCGCAUUAGCUAGUUGGUGAGGUAACGGCUCACCAAGGCGACGAUGCGUAGCCGACCUGAGAGGGUGAUCGGCCACACUGGGACUGAGACACGGCCCAGACUCCUACGGGAGGCAGCAGUAGGGAAUCUUCCGCAAUGGACGAAAGUCUGACGGAGCAACGCCGCGUGAGUGAUGAAGGUUUUCGGAUCGUAAAGCUCUGUUGUUAGGGAAGAACAAGUGCAAGAGUAACUGCUUGCACCUUGACGGUACCUAACCAGAAAGCCACGGCUAACUACGUGCCAGCAGCCGCGGUAAUACGUAGGUGGCAAGCGUUGUCCGGAAUUAUUGGGCGUAAAGGGCUCGCAGGCGGUUUCUUAAGUCUGAUGUGAAAGCCCCCGGCUCAACCGGGGAGGGUCAUUG
This 557-nucleotide ribosomal RNA is filed under the name Bacillus pumilus. Its description in RNAcentral is "bacterial SSU rRNA". It matches the Rfam family "Bacterial small subunit ribosomal RNA", at positions 83 to 628 of the family's 1533-position model. Lineage: Bacteria; Bacillati; Bacillota; Bacilli; Caryophanales; Bacillaceae. The record is from RNAcentral.